GGAACAUUGUGAGGAUGAGGCCAGUGAAAGGAAAAGGGUGAAGAGGGAGAGGAUACUGGAGACGGUGGCGUUGCUGAGGCAGAUUAUCCCGGGCGGUCAUGGCAAGGAUGCAGCAGCCGUGAUCGAUGACGCCAUCCGCUACCUCAAGUCCCUCAAGCUGCAGGCCAUGGCCUUGGAGGCUACUUCAAUCAUGGAGAAUUAACAGGGUAUUUACUUUCAUCAGUAUCUAAAUAUUGUUUUUCUUGAUAGGAAUGGUAUAUGUUCA
RNAcentral lists this unclassified non-coding RNA (265 nucleotides) under Hevea brasiliensis (rubber tree). The record is from RNAcentral. Lineage: Eukaryota; Viridiplantae; Streptophyta; Magnoliopsida; Malpighiales; Euphorbiaceae.